UUUAAACAAAACAAGUGUAUUUGAGUAGAACUUGUGAUUUCGUCUUUCCUCAUAUCUCUGUGUCGUCAGAUGUUACAGGAGAUGCUACAUAUUUGAAGGUAUCGACUGACUGUGUACAUACAUUGGUUGAUGAGUUACUGAAAGUAAGAACUACUACUAAGCUAAUCUACAUGGCAGAUGAAGGAUGAAUGAAGCAGAGAUAGAUUACCCAGGCCUAUGUGAGCCUUGACACCACCAAGAUUUCUAACUCGAAACAGGCCAGAUUUCUUAAAAGCACAGUUGAGGGUAAAUCCGAAAUCUGAUUCCAAAACGCAGGUCGGUCGGCCUAGCCGCCAUGUGCCGCC
Molecule: long non-coding RNA, 344 nt
Organism: Tribolium castaneum (red flour beetle)
Lineage: Eukaryota; Metazoa; Arthropoda; Insecta; Coleoptera; Tenebrionidae
Exons: 2
Source: RefSeq, a predicted model, not a curated record